AAUGCAUCAUGGGGGGGUCUCUGACGCUCACCCCUGGCGGGGCGGUUCUGCGAGCUUCUUGCGCUGGGGAAUAGGAGAGGCAAAAGAAGUGAUGACCGGGCCGCCUGGCUGAACCAACCCUUUGUCUAUGUGUACCUUUUGUUGCUUUCUCGGCGGGGACGCUCGCCGGCUGGAAGCCAAACCAACCCUCUUUUUUUGCAGUAGAAAUCACUUCUGAUGUGGGCAAAAUUUAUUUA
RNAcentral lists this unclassified non-coding RNA (236 nucleotides) under uncultured Pithomyces. RNAcentral's name for it is "sequence contains ITS1". Lineage: Eukaryota; Fungi; Ascomycota; Dothideomycetes; Pleosporales; Pleosporaceae. The record is from RNAcentral.